AUUGAACGCUGGCGGCAGGCCUAACACAUGCAAGUCGGACGAGUGGCGGACGGGUGAGUAAUGUCUGGGAAACUGCCUGAUGGAGGGGGAUAACUACUGGAAACGGUAGCUAAUACCGCAUACCAUCGGAUGUGCCCAGAUGGGAUUAGCUAGUAGGUGAGGUAACGGCUCACCUAGGCGACGAUCCCUAGCUGGUCUGAGAGGAUGACAAGCCACACUGGGACUGAGACAAGGCCCAGACUCCUACGGGAGGCAGCAGUGGGGAAUAUUGCACAAUGGGCGAAAGCCUGAUGCAGCCAUGCCGCGUGUAUGAAGAAGGCCGUCGGGUUGUAAAGUACUUUCAGUGGGGAGGCGUUACCCGCAGAAGAAGCACCGGCUAACUCCGUGCCAGCCGCCGCGGUAAUUC
This 406-nucleotide ribosomal RNA is filed under the name uncultured bacterium. Its description in RNAcentral is "partial 16S ribosomal RNA". It matches the Rfam family "Bacterial small subunit ribosomal RNA", at positions 30 to 526 of the family's 1533-position model. The record is from RNAcentral.